RNAcentral lists this long non-coding RNA (805 nucleotides) under Citrus sinensis (sweet orange). Its description in RNAcentral is "long non-coding RNA (CSIN_LNC000202)". The record is from RNAcentral. Lineage: Eukaryota; Viridiplantae; Streptophyta; Magnoliopsida; Sapindales; Rutaceae.
AAAAUAAUUCAAAAUCAAAUACUUAGAAAUAAAAUCCACGAUAACAUAUUACACAAAUUCAAUUAUCAAAGAUAAUCAUGAUGUCUCAACCAUGAUGAUGACAAAUUUGGCAAUGAAUGAUGAUGACACAUUGGGCUUUGUGGGGUUAGGUCAAGAAAAGGGGAAGGAUAAAUGGCGGCUCAUUUUUUUUUUUUUUCCUUCCAAAAAGCAAAUGAACAAACAACUGGGAAGGUGUAAAUGAAGAAACAGAGACAAACGCAUUCAUAAGUGCCCAUCAAUUUAUCAACAAAGAAGUUGUCGAGGACAAAGCAAAACACCAAGGGGUAGAAGUGUUGGCGGCCAAAUCGAGAUCCCGAUUUGUGAAGGUGGACAAACGGAAACGGCGGCCAAAACUCGUGACCUAGCUGGACAAACGGCAGCUGAUGAUGAAGAUGAAGAUGAACACGACGAAACGAUGAUGGGCAACGAUGAUGAUUUGUUGAAAAGAAGGGCUAAAGAGAGAGAGAGGAAAUGUCUGGGUUUGGUUUGGCUGCCGUGGCUGUGGAAGGGCAUUAGGGCAGAUUUUUUCUAAUUUUUUUUAUUUUAAAAUGAUUUAAAAAUUAAUAUUAAAAUAAUUAUCCGGGUCCGGGUUCCGGAUAUACAGGUUUACCCAAAUCCGGAACCGGACCCGGAAACGUCCGGGUUGAAAAUAUUAAAUCCGGAUACCGAAUUUUAUUCACUCCGGUACGGGUUGAAUCUGCCCCGGAUUUUCCAGGUUCAUCCAGGUCCAGGCCGGGUCCGGGUUAAAUUGCCAUCCCUACUUACA